This 76-nucleotide transfer RNA is filed under the name Rhizobacter fulvus. Its description in RNAcentral is "tRNA-Arg(ccg)". It matches the Rfam family "tRNA". From Rfam's summary of the family: Transfer RNA (tRNA) molecules are approximately 80 nucleotides in length. Their secondary structure includes four short double-helical elements and three loops (D, anti-codon, and T loops). RNAcentral also lists the same sequence under 14 other names. The record is from RNAcentral. Lineage: Bacteria; Pseudomonadati; Pseudomonadota; Betaproteobacteria; Burkholderiales; Sphaerotilaceae.
GCGUCCGUAGCUCAAUGGAUAGAGUACUGCCCUCCGAAGGCAGGGGUUGCUGGUUCGAUCCCAGCCGGGCGCACCA